Molecule: ribosomal RNA, 795 nt
Filed under: uncultured bacterium
Lineage: Bacteria
Description: bacterial SSU rRNA
Rfam family: Bacterial small subunit ribosomal RNA
Source: RNAcentral
AGAGUUUGAUCAUGGCUCAGAUUGAACGCUGGCGGCAUGCCUUACACAUGCAAGUCGAACGGCAGCACGGGGGCAACCCUGGUGGCGAGUGGCGAACGGGUGAGUAAUACAUCGGAACGUACCCAGUUGUGGGGGAUAACCCACCGAAAGGUGGGCUAAUACCGCAUGAUCUGGAGACAGCAAAGCGGGGGAUCGGAAACGACCUCGCGCGAUUGGAGCGGCCGAUGUCCGAUUAGCUAGUUGGUGGGGUAAAGGCCUACCAAGGCGACGAUCGGUAGCUGGUCUGAGAGGAUGAUCAGCCACACUGGGACUGAGACACGGCCCAGACUCCUACGGGAGGCAGCAGUGGGGAAUUUUGGACAAUGGGGGCAACCCUGAUCCAGCCAUGCCGCGUGAGUGAAGAAGGCCUUCGGGUUGUAAAGCUCUUUCGGUAGGAACGAAACGGUUACAGCUAAUACCUGUGACUACUGACGGUACUUACAGAAGAAGCACCGGCUAACUACGUGCCAGCAGCCGCGGUAAUACGUAGGGUGCGAGCGUUAAUCGGAAUUACUGGGCGUAAAGCGUGCGCAGGCGGUUAUUUAAGUCAGGUGUGAAAGCCCUGGGCUUAACCUAGGAAUUGCGCUUGAGACUGGAUAGCUUGGAGUGUGGCAGAGGGAGGUGGAAUUCCCGUGUAGCAGUGAAAUGCGUAGAGACGUGGAGGAACACCGAUGGCGAAGGCAGCCUCCUGGGCCAGCACUGACGCUCAUGCACGAAAGCGUGGGGAGCAAACAGGAUUAGAUACCCUAGUAGUCC